This 701-nucleotide ribosomal RNA is filed under the name Curtobacterium sp. EA_L_34. Its description in RNAcentral is "bacterial SSU rRNA". It matches the Rfam family "Bacterial small subunit ribosomal RNA", at positions 53 to 766 of the family's 1533-position model. The record is from RNAcentral. Lineage: Bacteria; Bacillati; Actinomycetota; Actinomycetes; Micrococcales; Microbacteriaceae.
ACAUGCAAGUCGAACGAUGAUGCCCAGCUUGCUGGGUGGAUUAGUGGCGAACGGGUGAGUAACACGUGAGUAACCUGCCCCUGACUCUGGGAUAAGCGUUGGAAACGACGUCUAAUACUGGAUAUGAUCACUGGCCGCAUGGUCUGGUGGUGGAAAGAUUUUUUGGUUGGGGAUGGACUCGCGGCCUAUCAGCUUGUUGGUGAGGUAAUGGCUCACCAAGGCGACGACGGGUAGCCGGCCUGAGAGGGUGACCGGCCACACUGGGACUGAGACACGGCCCAGACUCCUACGGGAGGCAGCAGUGGGGAAUAUUGCACAAUGGGCGAAAGCCUGAUGCAGCAACGCCGCGUGAGGGAUGACGGCCUUCGGGUUGUAAACCUCUUUUAGUAGGGAAGAAGCGAAAGUGACGGUACCUGCAGAAAAAGCACCGGCUAACUACGUGCCAGCAGCCGCGGUAAUACGUAGGGUGCAAGCGUUGUCCGGAAUUAUUGGGCGUAAAGAGCUCGUAGGCGGUUUGUCGCGUCUGCUGUGAAAUCCCGAGGCUCAACCUCGGGCUUGCAGUGGGUACGGGCAGACUAGAGUGCGGUAGGGGAGAUUGGAAUUCCUGGUGUAGCGGUGGAAUGCGCAGAUAUCAGGAGGAACACCGAUGGCGAAGGCAGAUCUCUGGGCCGUAACUGACGCUGAGGAGCGAAAGCAUGGGG